CCCUAUUUUCAGCAUUCUUGAAGAAUCAUUCGAGCAGUCAAUAGAUUCUCCAUCAAGCCUCAUCCACUCCCCUGGUUGUUCAGUCCCCAAUUGUGAUCCUUGGUAAACUCUUCACCUCCUUAACCAAGUCGUACUUGAUCCUUGAUCAUCGAAAAUCUCGGUAGGAUUACAGUCCCUCUUCAUCAUAUGUCAGAUCCCUUCUUCUCUCUCCGUAGUUUCAGCCUCUCUUCAGGCUCAAAAUUGUGAAUUUUCUGGCAUCUUCAAUAUUGAGGACUACA
RNAcentral lists this long non-coding RNA (278 nucleotides) under Helianthus annuus (common sunflower). RNAcentral describes it as "hypothetical non coding rna". The record is from RNAcentral. Lineage: Eukaryota; Viridiplantae; Streptophyta; Magnoliopsida; Asterales; Asteraceae.